Molecule: ribosomal RNA, 484 nt
Filed under: uncultured bacterium
Lineage: Bacteria
Description: partial 16S ribosomal RNA
Rfam family: Bacterial small subunit ribosomal RNA
Source: RNAcentral
AUUGAACGCUGGCGGCAGGCCUAACACAUGCAAGUCGAGCGGAUGAAGGGAGCUUGCUCCUGGAUUCAGCGGCGGACGGGUGAGUAAUGCCUAGGAAUCUGCCUGGUAGUGGGGGAUAACGUCCGGAAACGGGCGCUAAUACCGCAUACGUCCUGAGGGAGAAAGUGGGGGAUCUUCGGACUUCACGCUAUCAGAUGAGCCUAGGUCGGAUUAGCUAGUUGGUGGGGUAAAGGCCUACCAAGGCGACGAUCCGUAACUGGACUGAGAGGAUGAUCAGUCACACUAGAACUGAGACACGGUCCAGACUCCUACGGGAGGCAGCAGUGGGGAAUAUUGGACAAUGGGCGAAAGCCUGAUCCAGCCAUGCCGCGUGUGUGAAGAAGGUCUUCGGAUUGUAAAGCACUUUAAGUUGGGAGGAAGGGCAGUAAGUUAAUACCUUGCUGUUUUGACGUUACCAACAGAAUAAGCACCGGCUAACUUCGUG